CGUUGUCACCCUGACCCUCCUCUGCUUCCGUACUUUGUAAUUGUCAAGCUCUCCGCGUUCUCUUCAUUCUUCCUAUCACGGUCCCCUAGCCAGGGGGUUUUGUGGAGCUCCCUCCCACCCCCACCCCCAAAGUCCUGCAACCCUGCGGGACGGCCAGAGGCUUUGGCAGCCAGAUGUUAGGAAAAGUGUCCGCGCUCUUUGCCGCCCUUGUGCACCCGGGAGCUCCAACUGGAUACGGAAGAGCCAUUUGAGAGAGAACUGGGAACAGGAAGCCCACUGUCUCAGAGGACUAGACCAUGAAUGGUGCUCCCCAAGCAACUGAGGACUGAGGGGAGUUAGCAGCGGCGAAGCCAAGGGAGGAGCCAAGCCCCCUGUGUUCCAAGCCAGCAUCAGUGCCUACCAUGGAAGCACCAAUAAAUAUUUACUGGCUGAAUGAAGGGAUCGAUGGUAUAUGAAUGAAUAAGUGAGUGCGUGAAAAGAAAUGAGCCCCGAACAUCCACAAAAGCUCCAAAUCACAACCUUCUUAUAUCCUCCACUAUAGUCCCUGUUUUUGCAAUUGGAUUUAGCCUAAAUUUCCCUAUUUCACACUACCUCCCUUGAUCUCUGUUGUGGGCUUGGUUGGAACAAAUCCAAGUAUCCAUUAAAGAAUCACUUCCAAUACCAAUA
Phacochoerus africanus (Common warthog) is the source of this 666-nucleotide long non-coding RNA. RefSeq lists it as uncharacterized. The record is from RefSeq and is a predicted model, not a curated record. The transcript is spliced from 3 exons. Lineage: Eukaryota; Metazoa; Chordata; Mammalia; Artiodactyla; Suidae.